Long non-coding RNA from Daucus carota subsp. sativus, 2771 nucleotides. RefSeq lists it as uncharacterized. The record is from RefSeq and is a predicted model, not a curated record. The transcript has 8 exons. Lineage: Eukaryota; Viridiplantae; Streptophyta; Magnoliopsida; Apiales; Apiaceae.
AGUGUGUGUUGGUUCCUCGUUCCUCGUAUUCAAAGGGGAACUUGAGCUUCACUUGCAGGCCGCAGCAGAUCUACAUCACUGCACCAUUUGUCUCUGUACCAGGUUAAUGAUAUAAAACAAAAUUCAAAUUUAAUGUACAAUAUGGAAUAUGCACUUGGCAAUUUAUGAAGUUUCUGCAACACGCUUAGGAAUAGUUUCUCCUCAGACUCCAAUUACUGUUUUGCUGAUUAGUUCACUAACACAAAAUGGCACUGAGAAUGGUUGCAAGUAAUAUGAGAACUACGCUUUUGCCAAGUCAUCGACAUUCAGAAAAGAAAUGCUAUCCACACUCAGACCAAGACAGAACUUUCACUUGUUCGAAGAGCAAUUAAGGUGAAGCAGGAUCGGGAACGACUCACUCCGGAAUAUAUGUUUCACAUCAUGCUUCAAGUUUUGGAGGCAAAUCUGUGAUGAUCAAGGUGUUGCUAGCCUCCAUUACUGCCAACUCUGUAUGCAUGGGUUUGCAACAAUGAGGAUCUUGUACUGCUUCAUGAUAGUAUGUAGGUUCAAAGAUUUUGUUGGAAUUGGCUAUAAAUUUUUGGUAGUGAUCAGAAAAUAUGACAUGAAUCUACGUAAGUGAGAUAACCAAAGUACCAAACACAACAUUAGAAUUUGUAAGCCAAUUGUACCGUAAUCCUGUGUUUGUCAUUGCUUCUCAACUACUAGGUCAGCCUCAGCUCAAAUUCUGGCAUCUAGUGUUAAGAAUAUAGGUGUCCCGCCUCCACCAAGUAGAAUUCUGUGGUGGUACACCCUGCACUGUUAUAGUGCAGCUUUCCGAGUACAUUGCAAGUAUUUGCCAAUAAUGUUCUAUAUAUACUCUGUAGAAUAUUCUUCUAGUUGCUUCUCCCAUUUCCAAGUGUCUUAUAUAGAGAUCUGCUACAUUCCAUCAUAUUCGAAAAUGCCCUAGACAGAUCUGGACAUCCCUAGAAUUUAGGUAGAAAAUAACCUGUUCAAUAAAAAGGAGGGGUGCCCUUAUCAGCCCUUGCACUCGUAGAUGGUUCUGGUAGCCGGGACCCGGUGUCAGAUGCCUGGCACCGUAGUGCCUUGAGGCUUUAUAGGCUUUGCGUCCCUGACACGCAGCCAUGUUAGGCCAUAGGUUAGUGAUGUAGGGCAUGCAUUUUUUUGUUAACUGUUAUAUUACUCGAUAUUAUUAAUUUGUUUGUGUCAGGGUGGUUUGAAUGGGGAAAAGAUUUCUGACUUGAAUUGAGCCAUGUGGAAUAUCCAGGUUUCGAGCACUGAUAUGAUUAUUACUCAUUCUCUGUCGUCCAACCAUAGGGGAGCUAGUUGCAGGAGAUCAGAAUUCUAGCCAGUCCUUGGUCCGCAAAAUUUCCUCACAGAAUAUCUUUCGUUCAGUGAUUGCAGAAGCUGGAUCUUUAAAUGUGAAAUAUGAAAAUCUUGUUGGAGUGGUAGUUGCAGAUCAUUCUGCAUUGAAGUUGGUAGAGGAGAAAUUGCAAAGUUUAUAUGGGUUAUAUGAUUCAACGAUUGCAGAUGCUCAACUUCAGAAAGUAGGAUAUGGAAAUUCAUUGCCAUUCUUGGUUCAAGUUUGAAUGCCUUAAGAACAUACUUGAUGUUGUAUCAGUAGGAGAUGGAAACACAAUCUCUAGCUCUCCACAAAAAAUUCUUAGGGUUCGGCUUGUUGUGGGAUGAUCAUUCCUUCUAUAUACAGCAUUCGCGAUGAUUCUCAUAUCAAAAACAACUGCUCCUUUAUCGCGUCGGUCACUUUCUAUAUCUUUCUCCCAUGCGGCUCCUGCGAUGUUCUUUUGAUGCGCAUUUGGUAUUUGAAACUUGAAACUGAUACUCCCUCUUUCAGUUUUUGCCAAUACAAAAGGAUUCACAUAAUUGGUGUCCAGAAGAUUAUCUUCAUAGACCAAUGCAGCUUCAACGUACUCAUAUUGAACUUCAUACCGCUCGCUUGGAUUUCUGACACUCAUGUUUGCGCUCAAUGUCGCGUUUAUCCCGGUGUUAUCAAGUCUGAAAACUGUCAUGUUUAAUGAUUGUGCGUAAAAUACAGGAAUAUCAGAGCCAUAAAUAAGCCAGGCUAGGAGGCUUAGUACUGUUACUCCAAAAAAUAUCAUGAUCAAGACCACAAGAAACACACGAGCAAAUUUGUAACCCGGGCUUCUAUGAGGAGGUCCGAUUAAUACAAAGUUUUGUGCAGUGGUGGGGUAAUAGCCGGGUGGUGUAGGUUUCACGGGACCAUAAUGGUAAUCAGAUUUAGGGUAGACAGGAUAUGGAGGAUGGGCUUGAUAUGGUGGUGGAAAAGGAUAUCCCUGAGGUGGUGGUGGUGGUGGUGGUUGUGACAGCUCUGUUACAAAUUUUUCAGACUUGGGAUCACCUUCCGAGGAGGAAUCAUCCUUAGUUUCUCCCUCUCCCAUUCCAUAGGCAUCAAGAGAGAGAAUAAAGAUGAGAGAUGAAUCAAUGUUAUGUGAAGGUUGGAAUUGUAGAAAGAAAGAGAGGAAGAUGAGGUGAAAAUGUUAAGACAAUUAUGCGAUGAUAUGCGUUUUUGGAUAGUUGAGCUUUGUUUUGUUGAGCCAUGCAUGAAAUACAUUUACAAAUCAUUGGUCGAAAAUGAGAUGUAAUUAUGUAAAGAAUGGUGUACAUAGAAUAGAAGCAGGAGGACACAUGGAGGUUUGGGGUAUGUUCAGGUUCAAGUCACAAAUACUUUUGUUCAUAAUUUCAACAAUUUCAUCUCAUAAUUUUUAUCUUAACCACAAAAUGCAUCUAUUAGAUCA